RNAcentral lists this ribosomal RNA (269 nucleotides) under uncultured bacterium. RNAcentral's name for it is "partial 16S ribosomal RNA". It matches the Rfam family "Bacterial small subunit ribosomal RNA", at positions 524 to 776 of the family's 1533-position model. The record is from RNAcentral.
UACGGAGGGUGCGAGCGUUGUCCGGAAUCAUUGGGCGUAAAGGGCGCGUAGGCGGCAUGCCAAGCGUGUGGUGAAAGCCCGGGGCUCAACCCCGGGUCGGCCGUGCGGACUGGCGUGCUCGAGCACUGUAGGGGCGGGUGGAAUUCCGGGUGUAGCGGUGGAAUGCGUAGAGAUCCGGAAGAACACCGGUGGCGAAGGCGGCCCGCUGGGCAGGAAGGCUCGCAAGAGCCGGCUGACGCUGAGGCGCGACAGCGUGGGGAGCAAACAGG